This 270-nucleotide ribosomal RNA is filed under the name uncultured bacterium. RNAcentral describes it as "partial 16S ribosomal RNA". It matches the Rfam family "Bacterial small subunit ribosomal RNA", at positions 28 to 302 of the family's 1533-position model. The record is from RNAcentral.
GACGAACGCUGGCGGCGUGCUUAACACAUGCAAGUCGAGCGGAAAGGCCUUUCGGGGUACUCGAGCGGCGAACGGGUGAGUAACACGUGAGUAAUCUGCCCUGCACUCUGGGAUAGCCAUCGGAAACGGUGAUUAAUACUGGAUAUGAACAGUUCCCGCAUGGGGGUUGUUGGAAAGUUUUUUCGGUGCAGGAUGUGCUCGCGGCCUAUCAGCUUGUUGGUGGGGUAAUGGCCUACCAAGGCUUCGACGGGUAGCCGGCCUGAGAGGGUG